Molecule: non-coding RNA, 32 nt
Filed under: Rattus norvegicus (Norway rat)
Lineage: Eukaryota; Metazoa; Chordata; Mammalia; Rodentia; Muridae
Source: RNAcentral
UAGAGCAUAAUUCCCUUGGACCCAUGCUGCCU